CCUUAGCUCAGUUGGUAGAGCGGUCGGCUCAUAACCGAUUGGUCGCAGGUUCGAGUCCUGCAGGGCC
This 67-nucleotide transfer RNA is filed under the name Aneurinibacillus aneurinilyticus. It matches the Rfam family "tRNA", at positions 5 to 66 of the family's 71-position model. From Rfam's summary of the family: Transfer RNA (tRNA) molecules are approximately 80 nucleotides in length. The record is from RNAcentral. Lineage: Bacteria; Bacillati; Bacillota; Bacilli; Caryophanales; Paenibacillaceae.